GAGGGAGGCGUCUGGUUGAGAAGGUUUCAAUGGUUUGUCGUGGAGCCUGGAGAGGUCACCCAACCAGUGAGUGGGGUGGGUCCACCCUUGAAGUUUCAAAUUGGGGGAGGGUCCAAAAAGGGGCAGAGCCCAAACUAAUGAGGGUAGGGGUUGAGAAGAGGGAGUCAUCUCUUACAGGUUUCCAACUGAGGGUUUAGCCACUAUGUACCUGCUCUUAGAGUCCAGCUCCUGCUUGUCCACCCUCUUUUUGUCCUACUGAGAGGCAGAAUCUGGGGACAAGUGGAGCCAAAAAGGGGUAUCACCAGCCAGUAAUGGCGUGAGGGCUAGUCCCAAGAUAUGAAGUGGGCAGGACAGAUUCAGAUUUUGCUAGUGGAAUCUGUAGGUGGUCCUUCUUCCUCGUACCUAAUGCCAAGGUAGGAAUAAGCAAGGGCACCUAGUAUAUCUUGCUCUUGGAGGAAUUCCUCCUGGAUCGAGGCUUUGGAUGGCUGGAGGGACAGGAAUUCUUUAUUCCAGACAGUAGACCAAUAGACCUUCCUUGAGAAAGCUCCAAGAUUGGGGAGGAUUGAGUGGAGCAAAGGCUUAUGGAGGAGACAGCUGAAGUCUUACCUUCAGGAAAUUCAGUAUGGAAGGGGAUAAGGAAGGGAAACCCCAGCCUAGGCAACGGCUUGGUACUGAGAGACUUAGAUGCUCCCCUCGGGGCAGCAACAGCCAUAAGGAAGCGCAUUUUAGGCAUAUGGCCCAACUAGGGUGCAAAAGUCCAGAGGAAGGAAGGGUCAGGCAUAUUCAGCCCUUGAGGAUGUUAGUGUAGAGUUAUCAGGCAGAGUGCUGUGGCUCUGCCUUGAGCCCCAUCUUGUCACUCCAGGUCGUGGGUGAGCCUUUACUGUGUGCUUAGUAAGGGGGAACUGGGCUUCUACAAGGACUCCAAGGGCCCAGCAUCCGGGAGCACACACGGUGGGGAGCCGCUGCUCAGCCUGCACAAGGCCACCAGCGAGGUGGCUAGUGACUACAAGAAAAAGAAGCAUGUCUUCAAGCUCCAGACCCAGGAUGGCAGUGAGUUUUUGCUCCAGGCAAAAGAUGAGGAGGAGAUGAACGGCUGGCUGGAGGCUGUGGCAGCCUCAGUGGCAGAACACGCAGAGAUCGCCCGCUGGGGCCAGACACUACCCACUACUUCAUCCACAGAUGAGGGCAACCCUAAGAGGGAAGGCGGAGAUCGCAGGGCCAGCGGGCGCAGGAAGUGACUUCC
Molecule: long non-coding RNA, 1243 nt
Organism: Mandrillus leucophaeus (drill)
Lineage: Eukaryota; Metazoa; Chordata; Mammalia; Primates; Cercopithecidae
Exons: 3
Source: RefSeq, a predicted model, not a curated record